UAGGGAAUCUUCGGCAAUGGGGGCAACCCUGACCGAGCAACGCCGCGUGAGUGAAGAAGGUUUUCGGAUCGUAAAGCUCUGUUGUAAGAGAAGAACGUGUGUGAGAGUGGAAAGUUCACACAGUGACGGUAACUUACCAGAAAGGGACGGCUAACUACGUGCCAGCAGCCGCGGUAAUACGUAGGUCCCGAGCGUUGUCCGGAUUUAUUGGGCGUAAAGCGAGCGCAGGCGGUUUAAUAUGUCUGAAGUUAAAGGCAGUGGCUUAACCAUUGUUCGCUUUGGAAACUGUUAAACUUGAGUGCAGAAGGGGAGAGUGGAAUUCCAUGUGUAGCGGUGAAAUGCGUAGAUAUAUGGAGGAACACCGGUGGCGAAAGCGGCUCUCUGGUCUGUAACUGACGCUGAGGCUCGAAAGCGUGGGGAGCAAACAGG
RNAcentral lists this ribosomal RNA (429 nucleotides) under bacterium. Its description in RNAcentral is "partial 16S ribosomal RNA". It matches the Rfam family "Bacterial small subunit ribosomal RNA", at positions 355 to 776 of the family's 1533-position model. The record is from RNAcentral.